Long non-coding RNA from Culex pipiens pallens (northern house mosquito), 3748 nucleotides. RefSeq lists it as uncharacterized. Lineage: Eukaryota; Metazoa; Arthropoda; Insecta; Diptera; Culicidae. The transcript is spliced from 3 exons. The record is from RefSeq and is a predicted model, not a curated record.
UACAUCAAACGUAAUUCAAAAUUUGACGUAAAAACUUAUCACGUAACCUAAAAUCAAACGUAAUAUUAUGUUUGAAUCGACGCGGAUUGACCAAAUUCACUUAAGCAGAAGUUUGAAUCUUAUAAAAUGUAACAAUAAAUCAUUUUUAAAUGAACAUUACAUCAAAUAUGAUGCACAUGAUUGGAGCGUCGUUUGUCGUGUAAUAUUCUGUGCGAUGAUUUAAUUUUACUUCAAAUAUAACCCGAUUGUACGCUGAUUUGGUGCCUUUCACUUCACAGUGCAGCAAACGUCAGCCAUGAUGGAUUCCGAUUAGGAAAGUUGACGCGGAGAAGUUGUCCCGAUAAAAAUUAGUUUUUCUCAGCUUUCGCCACUUUUUGAGCUAAAAAUCUCAAUAAAAUCGAUUGCCAAGCCAGAAACAUCUCCAUCCCUCUUUCGGGCAAACUCCCUGAAUCCGAUCCGUGAUCCUGUUGGCAAUGGAUGACUGCCGGUGGAUGGGUUCGAGCGUUGGCUUUGCGCCAGGUACUGACCACGGUUGAUAGUGCCGCGGAGGUAAUCAGUUGGUUCAGUCGGUGGCAUUUCGUGAUGGAGAUCGCUUUCGGUACCAACAGUGUUGUUCCGGUGGAGCUGGUUCGUUUGCAAGGCGAUGUCGGUCCGACGGAGCCGGAUGUGGUCGUCGUCCCAGGUGGCAAGAUGAGGAGUUCCGUGACACGAGAAAAGGAAGGCCUCAAACAAAUGGACCAGCUCACGUCAUAUUUUGAAACGAUCGAUUGAAGCAGGUUGGUCGUCGGUUGGGGCCUCGGCUGCAGCUAGCGGAGGAACGCUUGCGACGACGUGGGAACGAAAAUGGAUUGAUAGCAGAGCUGGAGGGUUUGCGGCUAGUUAAGCUACGUGCUGAACGCGAUGAAGGUUAUCUGUUUAGUGGCCUGGCCACGUUGGGCAUUCCGGUGGUGGAUGAUAGAGGAAAAUGUAUUUAUUCGAUUUUAAUCAUAAAGUGUUAAUAAAAAUAAGAUUAAUUAAUAUAAAUACGGUGUUUUUUUUUCUUUCCAAUAAAUUUAAUCCAAAAAUCCAAUAAAUCGCAAUUCCAAUAGGAAUGGUUUCCUAUGAAUUGCGUUUGAUGUAAUUUUACACGACCAUAUCGGUUGACGGUAAAGGUCGGGUAAUUUUCAAAUCAGAUGUAAUUUUAUGUCUUAUUUGACGCUCCAGUUAUGUGCAUCAAAUAGACAGAAUAUUACACGAUUUUUUCGAAGUGUGUAUAAACGAUCGGGAUUUUUUCAUACAUUUCGAAUGUAAUAACAAUAUUUUUUGAAAAUACUCAAAAUUUUCACAAAACUACGUAUUUUUGUAAAACUUUUCAAAAUUUCAGUUUUUACAUUAUGGGUAUCAAAUAAUCAAUUCUUUUUUUUCAAAAAUACGUAGUUUUGUGAAAUUUUUUAGUAUUUUAAUUUUUUUAAUAACUUUCGAAAUGUAUGAAAAAAUCCCGAUCGUUUGAUACCCACAUUGUAAAAACGGAAAUUUCGAGUAAUUUUUUUUCGAAAAUACGUAGUUUUGUGAAAAUUUGGAGUAUUUUCAAAAAAAUUGUUAUUACAUUUGAAAUGUAUGAAAAAAAUCCCGAUCGUUUGAUACCCAUAUUGUAAAAAUUGAAAUUUUGAGUAUUUUUUCGAAAAGACGUAGUUUUGUGAAAAUUUGGAGUAUUUUCUAAAAAUGAUGUUAUUACAUCCAAAAUGUAUGAAAAAACCUGAUCAUUUGAUACCCUUGCAAUAACAAUAUAUUUUUGGAUGCUGUAGAGAAAAAAAAAAGCAUUUUGAAAUACAGGAAAAAUACGUAUUUUUGUGAAAAUUUUCAUGAAAUUAUAAUUUUAAUGGAUAGCUGACAUCAUCCCGAUUCCAAAAUACUAUAAUUUUUUGAUGUUUGCAUGAUUUUUCGUACGAUUAAAGCCAAUAUCUCCCAUAUAGCCAAAAUCCCAUAAGCUCUGUGCCUCGGUUAUGCACGCCUCGGUUUUGCAUCCCCCAUAUGCGGUGCUCAACCGAGGCAUGAGUGUAUAUUAGGGUGGGUCAUUUUUUUCGAAAGUGCUCGGAUCCGGCUGAAAUAAGGUCCAUCUUGUAGAGGGUACCCAUAGGGACUCUCAUACCAAAUUUGAGCUCAUUUGGUUGAAAACUGGCUUGUCGCUCGGGGGUUAAAGUUUACAUGGAAAUUACUAUGGGAAAUGAGUGAUUUUACUUCAAACGCUCCUACAAGCUAAGCGACAAACUUUAGCCCACACUUACACUAGGUAGCCGUGUCGGGGGUGGUCCAAGGAACAUUUUUCUCUAAGGGUUCAUGGUCAUCCGUUCAACCCUGAGCUUGCGCAAAGCCGAAACAUCCGGCGACGCCGGAAUUCUUCAAAAUCUCAGUUUUAACGGUCAACGCAUGCUACAAACUAUGACAGAAGCAUCAUUUGAAUGAAUGGAAAACGCGACGCCAAACGUCAACUCACUGUUUGGAAGCAAAAAAAAGGUUCAUAAUUGUGGUUUUUACUUUUUGUAUUAAAUAACAAAUUAUUCAUAUUUUUUUCAUGCUUAUUUCUAGAACGAAUUAUUCGAAUUAAGGUGUGAAACAUAAUUAAAUAAAAAAAACCCCUUUAUGUGGUAGGACAUCGUGGACGGAAACAGUUAAACGUCACACAUGGCCAGCGGAAUCGACGGCGAGGGGUUCACCGGAGUAGUCAUCGGGAUGGCAGGACAUGUAGAGAUAGUUACGGUUGGAAUUCGUGGAGGGAAGUGAUUGCUCGACGCACAGGGCCAGCAGAAUAGCCGACUUGGGGUUCGUCUGGCAAGUCGAGCGGCAUCGUCGGUGAGAUGUUCACCCGAAGAGCCAUCGGAAUGGACAGGACAUGGUUUAAUUGACCUUAUUGAAACGGUAGCAUCGGCUUAUCAGGAUAAUAUUUCUAUUUACCAAUUUUCCUCCGGUUCCCAGGUGUUUUCGGAAUCCUCGCAACCCUUUCACUUGAUCUGAAACUGGACCUUUUAGCGCCGAGUUCUCUUUGCAACGACACGCUCACCCACGGACUCGGGUUCGGAGGCCAUGUUUAUUUUCAAAUUGCCGAUUGAAAACCAUUUUAUUUUUCAUGAAAAAAAAAAAACACUUUGUUGGAAAAGCGCAAACCCUCACAUUAGCUUCUAAACAGUGAGUUGACGUUUGGCGUCGCUUUUUCCAUUCAUUCAAACGAUGCUUCUGUCAUAGUUUGUAGCAUGCGUUGACCGUUAAAACUGAGAUUUUGAAGAAUUCCGGCGUCGCCGGAUGUUUCGGCUUUGCGCAAGCUCAGGGUUGAACGGAUGACCAUGGACCCUUAGAGAAAAAUGUUCCUUGGACCACCCCCGAUACGGCUACCUAGUGUAAGUGUGGGCUAAAGUUUGUCGCUUAGCUUGUAGGAGCGUUUGAAGUAAAAUCACUCAUUUCCCAUAGUAAUUUCCAUGUAAACUUUAACCCCCGAGCGACAAGCCAGUUUUCAACCAAAUGAGCUCAAAUUUGGUAUGAGAGUCCCUAUGGGUACCCUCUACAAGAUGGACCUUAUUUCAGCCGGAUCCGAGCACUUUCGAAAAAAAAUGACCCACCCUAGUGUAUAUCUAAUAUUUUUUUCUAACGUUUUUUUUUUCCUUUUUUACGGUUCUCAAGUGAAUUAGAAUUAGAAUUCAAAUAUUGAAGCUUUGGUUUCAAUAUAAAUGAUGGCGAAAACAUCAAAUUAAACACCAAAUUAACCACCCACCCUCAA